This 230-nucleotide ribosomal RNA is filed under the name uncultured bacterium. RNAcentral's name for it is "partial 16S ribosomal RNA". It matches the Rfam family "Bacterial small subunit ribosomal RNA", at positions 99 to 334 of the family's 1533-position model. The record is from RNAcentral.
CGGACGGGUGAGUAAUGUCUGGGAAACUGCCUGAUGGAGGGGGAUAACUACUGGAAACGGUAGCAAUACCGCAUAACGUCGCAAGACCAAAGAGGGGGACCUUAGGGCCUCUUGCCAUCGGAUGUGCCCAGAUGGGAUUAGCUUGUUGGUGGGGUAACGGCUCACCAGGCGACGAUCCCUAGCUGGUCUGAGAGGAUGACCAGCCACACUGGAACUGAGACACGGUCCAG